RNAcentral lists this ribosomal RNA (301 nucleotides) under uncultured bacterium. Its description in RNAcentral is "partial 16S ribosomal RNA". It matches the Rfam family "Bacterial small subunit ribosomal RNA", at positions 509 to 808 of the family's 1533-position model. The record is from RNAcentral.
CAGCAGCCGCGGGAAUACGGAGGGUGCAAGCGUUAAUCGGAAUUACUGGGCGUAAAGCGCACGCAGGCGGUUUGUUAAGUCAGAUGUGAAAUCCCCGAGCUUAACUUGGGAACUGCAUUUGAAACUGGCAAGCUAGAGUCUUGUAGAGGGGGGUAGAAUUCCAGGUGUAGCGGUGAAAUGCGUAGAGAUCUGGAGGAAUACCGGUGGCGAAGGCGGCCCCCUGACAAAGACUGACGCUCAGGUGCGAAAGCGAGGGGAGCAAACAGGAUUAGAUACCCGAGUAGUCCCUGUCUCUUAUACA